This 707-nucleotide long non-coding RNA is filed under the name Musa acuminata (dwarf banana). RNAcentral describes it as "long non-coding RNA (MACU_LNC010319)". The record is from RNAcentral. Lineage: Eukaryota; Viridiplantae; Streptophyta; Magnoliopsida; Zingiberales; Musaceae.
AUAUUAGGAGUUGGUUAGAAGUAAGAGUCUUAAGUAGGAGUCCUAUUAGGAGUUAGGGUUUAGAAGCCCUAUAAAUAGCCAUGUAUUUCUUCUCUUUUCUUAAGCAAUAGAUAAAACUUUUCUGCAGCCUUUGAGCAGCACUUGGAGGGAGGAACCCCUAUAGAGUUCCAAGGAGGCCGAUCCCCUAAAGAGAUCAACCCCAAGUUUAGAAUCUGCAAGGGUUCUAUCACCUGGUAUCAGAGCAGCGUUCUUGGCAUCUCGCUGCCCUUCCACAGCCAUCCAUCAACCCUCCACAACCAUCCAAAGCAAUUCCCACAAUUGCUUAAAAGAUCGUCGCCGAAUUCCACCAUCAUCUCCACCACCGCAGAUCAACCUUUGAUCUCCCCGUGAAUUACAAUAGGUUCUGGUUUCCUACCUUACUGCUGCUGCAAUUUAUUUAUCCCUAUCCGAAAAUCCAAAAAAAAAAAAAUUCGUUCCUAUAUUGCUGCAAAUUUUCAUCGUAAGUUGCUGAAAUUUUUCGACGAGAAUUCUGCUAUCGCAACUUACACCAAUUUUCUUGCUGUUACUGUCGAAAUUUUCUCAAUGGACAUCCUUGCUAUCAUAUAAACUGAGAUAUUGCUGUCAACUCUCUCCUCAAAUCUCUCAAAUUUUUUGUGGAGAUUUCGUCGAGAAACCGCUGUUUCUUCGACGAUAAUUCUGCUCUUACA